ACGAACGCUGGCGGCGUGCUUAACACAUGCCAGUCGCACGGAAAGGCCCUGCUUUUGUGGGGUGCUCGAGUGGCGAACGGGUGAGUAACACGUGAGUAACCUGCCCUUGACUUUGGGAUAACUUCAGGAAACUGGGGCUAAUACCGGAUAGGAGCUCCUGCUGCAUGGUGGGGGUUGGAAAGUUUCGGCGGUUGGGGAUGGACUCGCGGCUUAUCAGCUUGUUGGUGGGGUAGUGGCUUACCAAGGCUUUGACGGGUAGCCGGCCUGAGAGGGUGACCGGCCACAUUGGGACUGAGAUACGGCCCAGACUCCUACGGGAGGCAGCAGUGGGGAAUAUUGCACAAUGGGCGGAAGCCUGAUGCAGCAACGCCGCGUGCGGGAUGACGGCCUUCGGGUUGUAGACCGCUUUCGCCUGUGACGAAGCGUGAGUGACGGUAAUGGGUAAAGAAGCACCGGCUAACUACGUG
This 467-nucleotide ribosomal RNA is filed under the name uncultured bacterium. RNAcentral's name for it is "partial 16S ribosomal RNA". It matches the Rfam family "Bacterial small subunit ribosomal RNA", at positions 29 to 507 of the family's 1533-position model. The record is from RNAcentral.